GACACGCUGGCGGCGUGCCUAACACAUGCAAGUCGAGCGGAGAUGUACUGAAGAUUUAUCGGAUGUACAUCUUAGCGGCGGACGGGUGAGUAACGCGUGGGCAACCUGCCUUCCACUGGGGGAUAACACAGGGAAACCUGUGCUAAUACCGCAUGACAUCACAUAGGGCAUCCUGUGUGAUCAAAGGAGUGAUCCGGUGGAAGAUGGGCCCGCGUCCGAUUAGCUAGUUGGUGAGGUAACGGCUCACCAAGGCGACGAUCGGUAGCCGGACUGAGAGGUUGGCCGGCCACAUUGGGACUGAGACACGGCCCAGACUCCUACGGGAGGCAGCAGUGGGGAAUAUUGCGCAAUGGGGGGAACCCUGACGCAGCGACGCCGCGUGAAGGAAGAAGGCCUUCGGGUUGUAAACUUCUUUGAUGAGGGACGAAGGAAGUGACGGUACCUCAAAAACAAGCCACGGCUAACUACGUG
RNAcentral lists this ribosomal RNA (471 nucleotides) under uncultured bacterium. RNAcentral describes it as "bacterial SSU rRNA". It matches the Rfam family "Bacterial small subunit ribosomal RNA", at positions 33 to 507 of the family's 1533-position model. The record is from RNAcentral.